Molecule: ribosomal RNA, 451 nt
Filed under: Bacillus sp. sp1(2011)
Lineage: Bacteria; Bacillati; Bacillota; Bacilli; Caryophanales; Bacillaceae
Description: bacterial SSU rRNA
Rfam family: Bacterial small subunit ribosomal RNA
Source: RNAcentral
UAUCAUGCAAGUCGAGCGAACAGAAGGGAGCUUGCUCCCGGAUGUUAGCGGCGGACGGGUGAGUAACACGUGGGUAACCUGCCUGUAAGACUGGGAUAACUCCGGGAAACCGGAGCUAAUACCGGAUAGUUCCUUGAACCGCAUGGUUCAAGGAUGAAAGACGGUUUCGGCUGUCACUUACAGAUGGACCCGCGGCGCAUUAGCUAGUUGGUGGGGUAAUGGCUCACCAAGGCGACGAUGCGUAGCCGACCUGAGAGGGUGAUCGGCCACACUGGGACUGAGACACGGCCCAGACUCCUACGGGAGGCAGCAGUAGGGAAUCUUCCGCAAUGGACGAAAGUCUGACGGAGCAACGCCGCGUGAGUGAUGAAGGUUUUCGGAUCGUAAAGCUCUGUUGUUAGGGAAGAACAAGUGCGAGAGUAACUGCUCGCACCUUGACGGUACCUAACCA